UACGUAGGGUGCAAGCGUUGUCCGGAAUUAUUGGGCGUAAAGAGCUCGUAGGCGGUUUGUCGCGUCUGCUGUGAAAACUCGGGGCUCAACUCCGAGCUUGCAGUGGGUACGGGCAGACUAGAGUGCGGUAGGGGAGACUGGAAUUCCUGGUGUAGCGGUGAAAUGCGCAGAUAUCAGGAGGAACACCGAUGGCGAAGGCAGGUCUCUGGGCCACUACUGACGCUGAGAAGCGAAAGCGUGGGGAGCGAACAGG
Molecule: ribosomal RNA, 253 nt
Filed under: uncultured bacterium
Lineage: Bacteria
Description: partial 16S ribosomal RNA
Rfam family: Bacterial small subunit ribosomal RNA
Source: RNAcentral